GCUCCGUUGGUCUAGUGGUUAUGAUGCGACCCUCCCAUCGCAUAUGCGAGCCCUCAAGGGGCUGGGCAAGGUCGCGACCCGAGUUCGAAUCCCGGACGGAGCA
Molecule: non-coding RNA, 103 nt
Organism: Aspergillus tanneri
Lineage: Eukaryota; Fungi; Ascomycota; Eurotiomycetes; Eurotiales; Aspergillaceae
Source: the annotation of a RefSeq genome assembly